AUUGAACGCUGGCGGCAUGCCUUACACAUGCGAGUCGAACGGUAACAGGUCUUCGGAUGCUGACGAGUGGCGAACGGGUGAGUAAUACAUCGGAACGUGCCCGAUCGUGGGGGAUAACGAGGCGAAAGCUUUGCUAAUACCGCAUACGAUCUACGGAUGAAAGCGGGGGAUCUUCGGACCUCGCGCGGACGGAGCGGCCGAUGGCAGAUUAGGUAGUUGGUGGGAUAAAAGCUUACCAAGCCGACGAUCUGUAGCUGGUCUGAGAGGAUGAUCAGCCACACUGGGACUGAGACACGGCCCAGACUCCUACGGGAGGCAGCAGUGGGGAAUUUUGGACAAUGGGCGAAAGCCUGAUCCAGCCAUGCCGCGUGCAGGAUGAAGGCCUUCGGGUUGUAAACUGCUUUUGUACGGAACGAAAAGCCUCUUUCUAAUAAAGAGGGGUCAUGACGGUACCGUAAGAAUAAGCACCGGCUAACUACGUG
RNAcentral lists this ribosomal RNA (482 nucleotides) under uncultured bacterium. RNAcentral describes it as "partial 16S ribosomal RNA". It matches the Rfam family "Bacterial small subunit ribosomal RNA", at positions 30 to 507 of the family's 1533-position model. The record is from RNAcentral.